GACGAACGCUGGCGGCGUGCUUAACACAUGCAAGUCGAGCGGAAAGGCCCUUCGGGGUACUCGAGCGGCGAACGGGUGAGUAACACGUGAGUAACCUGCCCCUGACUCUGGGAUAAGCCCGGGAAACUGGGUCUAAUACCGGAUAUGAUCACCGAUCGCAUGGUCUGGUGGUGGAAAGUUUUUUCGGUCAGGGAUGGGCUCGCGGCCUAUCAGCUUGUUGGUGGGGUAGUGGCCUACCAAGGCGACGACGGGUAGCCGGCCUGAGAGGGCGACCGGCCACACUGGGACUGAGACACGGCCCAGACUCCUACGGGAGGCAGCAGUGGGGAAUAUUGCGCAAUGGGCGAAAGCCUGACGCAGCGACGCCGCGUGGGGGAUGACGGCCUUCGGGUUGUAAACCUCUUUCAGCAGGGACGAAGUUGACGUGUACCUGUAGAAGAAGCGCCGGCUAACUACGUGCCAGCCGCCGCCGUAACAC
Molecule: ribosomal RNA, 478 nt
Filed under: uncultured bacterium
Lineage: Bacteria
Description: bacterial SSU rRNA
Rfam family: Bacterial small subunit ribosomal RNA
Source: RNAcentral